GAUGAACGCUAGCGGCAGGCCUAAUACAUGCAAGUCGAACGAUAGUGAGAAGCUUGCUUCUCACGAAAGUGGCGCACGGGUGCGUAACGCGUAUGCAACCUACCUUAAUCAGGGGGAUAGCCCGAAGAAAUUCGGAUUAACACCGCCUAAAAUCACAGUAUAGCAUUAUACAAUGAUCAAAUAUUUAUAGGAUUAAGAUGGGCAUGCGUGACAUUAGUUAGUUGGCGCGGUAACGGCCCACCAAGACCACGAUGUCUAGGGGAUCUGAGAGGAGGACCCCCCACACUGGUACUGAGACACGGACCAGACUCCUACGGGAGGCAUCAGUAAGGAAUAUUGGUCAAUGGAGGCAACUCUGAACCAGCCAUGCCGCGUGCAGGAAGACAGCCCUCUGGGUCGUAAACUGCUUUUAUUCGGGAAUAAACCUAUCUACGUGUAGAUAGCUGAAUGUACCGAAGGAAUAAGGAUCGGCCAACUCCGUGCCAGCCGCCGCCGUAA
RNAcentral lists this ribosomal RNA (498 nucleotides) under uncultured bacterium. RNAcentral's name for it is "partial 16S ribosomal RNA". It matches the Rfam family "Bacterial small subunit ribosomal RNA", at positions 28 to 523 of the family's 1533-position model. The record is from RNAcentral.